RNAcentral lists this long non-coding RNA (477 nucleotides) under Rattus norvegicus (Norway rat). RNAcentral describes it as "long non-coding RNA NONRATT017220". Lineage: Eukaryota; Metazoa; Chordata; Mammalia; Rodentia; Muridae. The record is from RNAcentral.
GAAAGAUGGCGCCUUCGAGCCUGGAAGUCCGAUGUUUUAAUGUAUUUAUUUAUUUAUUUAUUUGGUUACCUUCCUGUUCCAAGCUUCCACUGACUGUUGUCCCCCCCCCCCCAGGGUUUUAUUAUCAUGUUCUGUCUUUUUUUUUCUCUUCCCUCCUCCUGACUUGGGGACCUUUUUGGGGAGGGCUGCAAGGCUUGCUUGGGGUGUUGGGGCUCCGGUGGGACAGCUGCUAUAGCUCCCUUCUGUGGGGAGCCCCUUGCCUACUUGCUGGAGUGGCUCUAGGCUCUGCUGACUGUGUACCUAAGACAGAAAGGCAGUUCCGGUGUGGUGUGCCUUCCGGAUCCUCUCUGGGGUUGUGCUUUGAGCAGCGUGUAGCCCGCUGGUUUUUCUCUGAGAGAUACUGUACAGGGGAAUAAAAGAGAUCUUAUUUUUUUUUUUUAUACUUGGCAUUUUUUGAAUAAAAAAACCUUUUGUCUU